GAUACGAUGGGGAGCGAAACUAAGUAGCGAAGCAGCUGAUUUCACACUGUCGAGAAAAGUCUCUAUCGAGAUUAAAGGUACCCGUACCGCAAACCGACACAGGUGGGUGAGGAGAGUAUCCUAAGGCCAGCGAGAGAACUGUUGUUAAGGAACUCGGCAAAAUGACCCCGUAACUUAGGGAUAAGGGGUGCCCCAGAAAUGGGGCCGCAGAGAAUUGGCCCAAGCGACUGUUUACCAAAAACAUAGGUUUCUGCUAAGUCGCAAGACGAUGUAUAGGAGCUGACGCCUGCCCGGUGCUGGAAGGUUAAGGGGAUCUGUUAGAGCAAUCGAAGCAGUGAUCUUAAGCCCCAGUAAACGGCGGCCGUAACUAUAACGGUCCUAAGGUAGCGAAAUUCCUUGUCGGGUAAGUUCCGACCCGCACGAAAGGCGUAACGAUUUGGGCACUGUCUCAACAACAGACUCGGUGAAAUUGUAGUCCCGGUGAAGAUGCCGGGUACCUGCGACAGGACGGAAAGACCCCAUGGAGCUUUACUGUAGCUUGACAUUGGGUCUCGGUACUACAUGUACAGGAUAGGUGGGAGACUGAGAAAUCUGGGCGUCAGUUUAGAUGGAGUCAUCCUUGGGAUACCACCCUUGUAGUAUUGGGACUCUAACCAUAGGCCAUGAAUCUGGUCUUGGGACACUGUCUGGUGGGCAGUUUGACUGGGGCGGUCGCCUCCCAAAAGGUAACGGAGGCGCUCAAAGGUUCCCUCAGUACGGUCGGAAAUCGUACGAAGAGUGUAAAGGCAAAAGGGAGCUUGAUUGCAAGACAUACAGGUCGAGCAAGGUAGAAAUACGGACUUAGUGAUCCGGUGGUUCUGCGUGGAAGGGCCAUCGCUCAACGGAUAAAAGCUACCCUGGGGAUAACAGGCUUAUCUCCCCCAAGAGUCCACAUCGACGGGGAGGUUUGGCACCUCGAUGUCGGCUCAUCACAUCCUGGGGCUGUAGUUGGUCCCAAGGGUUGGGCUGUUCGCCCAUUAAAGUGGUACGCGAGCUGGGUUCAGAACGUCGUGAGACAGUUCGGUCCCUAUCCGUCGCAGGCGUAGGAAAUUUGAGGAGAUCUGUCCUUAGUACGAGAGGACCGGGAUGGACAUACCUCUGGUGUACCAGUUGUUCUGCCAAGGGCAUGGCUGGGUAGCUAUGUAUGGAAAGGAUAAGCGCUGAAAGCAUCUAAGCGCGAAGCCAACUUCAAGAUAAGAUUUCCCACCGCAAGGUUAAGAUCCCAGGAAGACUA
Molecule: ribosomal RNA, 1273 nt
Filed under: Peptostreptococcus anaerobius
Lineage: Bacteria; Bacillati; Bacillota; Clostridia; Peptostreptococcales; Peptostreptococcaceae
Description: bacterial LSU rRNA
Rfam family: Bacterial large subunit ribosomal RNA
Source: RNAcentral